GUUUCUGAAACUUCUUGAAAUCAAUGUUCUGUUGCAAUCUGUUGGAGAUUCUGAGAUGCUGGUACCGUAGGUUUGGGUUCCGAUAUUUGUGCGUCGAAAUUAAGGUUGUUAUUGAACCACCGGAGCUUCGGGGAGUGCCGGAGCUGCCGCCUGAUCGGUUCAGAGGGUCACUGCUGCUUUGUUUCUCGUGAAAAGUGUUGUUGCCGCGAUUCUUGAUGCCGCUGUUGAUAUUGUCUGAAAAUAAACAAGGUUGCUGCCGCUGUUGUAAAAUUGAAAAUAAACAAAAGAGGAAUUGAUGAGUCUAACUACUGAGCUUUGACUAAAUCGAGGAACCGAAUGAAGAAGCAUUAAGAAGAGUCCUACUGAGUUUGGUUUAUAUAUUGUUGUGUUAAUUAGAUUAUUUUCUUCCCUCGUCUUUGUUAUUACAAGUUUGUAAGAGGGACAGAAAUUGUAUGUUUUAUAUGUAUAUUAUAUUAUGAGUUAUUAUGUAAGGAGUCUUGUAUAUGAAUAUAUGCCUGUUUGUAUUUUUCUU
This is a non-coding RNA of Arachis ipaensis, 532 nucleotides long. The record is from RefSeq and is a predicted model, not a curated record. Lineage: Eukaryota; Viridiplantae; Streptophyta; Magnoliopsida; Fabales; Fabaceae.